This 228-nucleotide long non-coding RNA is filed under the name Hordeum vulgare. RNAcentral's name for it is "long non-coding RNA (HVUL_LNC000785)". The record is from RNAcentral. Lineage: Eukaryota; Viridiplantae; Streptophyta; Magnoliopsida; Poales; Poaceae.
UUAUUUGUUUUAUUAAUUUAUAUGCAUUGUAGCAUGUGGCAACCUACGAUUCUACUAGUACUAGUUUUAGAUAAAAUGAAGGCGCUAACAUGCUGUCAGUUUGGCAUCCACCACUACCUUAAAAAGAAUUAUAUAAUUUUUUUGGCAUCCACCACUGGUGGUACGCAAAAAUCUCCUGUCCUCACGACAUUCCUAAAUAAAGAAAGCUCCUUCCUGACGCUCCAUGAC